UCGGGAAUUUUGGGCAAUGGGCGCAAGCCUGAUCCAGCAAUGCCGCGUGAGUGAUGAAGGCCUUAGGGUUGUAAAGCUCUUUUACCAGGGAUGAUAAUGACAGUACCUGGAGAAUAAGCUCCGGCUAACUCCGUGCCAGCAGCCGCGGUAAUACGGAGGGAGCUAGCGUUGUUCGGAAUUACUGGGCGUAAAGCGUACGUAGGCGGUGACUCAAGUCAGAGGUGAAAGCCUGGAGCCCAACUCCAGAACUGCCUUUGAAACUAGGUCGCUAGAAUCACGGAGAGGUGAGUGGAAUUCCCAGUGUAGAGGUGAAAUUCGUAGAUAUUGGGAAGAACACCAGUGGCGAAGGCGGCUAACUGGUCCGGUACUGACGCUGAGGUGCGAAAGCGUGGGGAGCAAACAGGAUUAGAUACCCAUGUAGUCCCUGAGCGGGCUGGCAAGGCGCAU
Molecule: ribosomal RNA, 447 nt
Filed under: uncultured bacterium
Lineage: Bacteria
Description: bacterial SSU rRNA
Rfam family: Bacterial small subunit ribosomal RNA
Source: RNAcentral